Molecule: ribosomal RNA, 230 nt
Filed under: uncultured bacterium
Lineage: Bacteria
Description: partial 16S ribosomal RNA
Rfam family: Bacterial small subunit ribosomal RNA
Source: RNAcentral
UGAGUAACCUGCCCUCCACUCUGGGAUAAGCCCGGGAAACUGGGUCUAAUACCGGAUAUGACCUCCUGUCUCAUGGCGGGUGGUGGAAAGUUUUUCGGUGGGGGAUGGACUCGCGGCCUAUCAGCUUGUUGGUGAGGUAAUGGCUUACCAAGGCGACGACGGGUAGCCGGCCUGAGAGGGCGACCGGCCACACUGGGACUGAGACACGGCCCAGACUCCUACGGGAGCAG